CUACGGGCUGCAGCGGUGAGGAAUAUUGCACAAUGGGGGGAAGAUGGAGGCAGCAACGCCGCGUGGAGGAGGACGCCUUUCUUUUCGUAAACUCCUUUGAGAGGGAAAGAAAAUGACGGUAGCAUAUGAAUAAGCACCGGCUAACUCCGUGCCAGCAGCCGCGGUAAUACGGAGGGUGCAAGCGUUACUCGGAAUCACUGGGCGUAAAGGACGCGUAGGCGGGUUGGAAAGUCAGGUGUGAAAUCCUACAGCUUAACUGUAGAACUGCACUUGAAACUUCUAAUCUAGAGUAUGGGAGGGGGAGAUGGAAUUAGUGGUGUAGGGGUAAAAUCCGUAGAUAUCACUAGGAAUACCUAAAGCGAAGGCGAUCUCCUGGAACAUUACUGACGCUAAGGCGUGAAAGCGUGGGGAGCAAACAGGAUUAGAUACCCCGGUAGUC
RNAcentral lists this ribosomal RNA (439 nucleotides) under uncultured bacterium. RNAcentral describes it as "partial 16S ribosomal RNA". It matches the Rfam family "Bacterial small subunit ribosomal RNA", at positions 339 to 795 of the family's 1533-position model. The record is from RNAcentral.